RNAcentral lists this ribosomal RNA (253 nucleotides) under uncultured bacterium. RNAcentral's name for it is "partial 16S ribosomal RNA". It matches the Rfam family "Bacterial small subunit ribosomal RNA", at positions 524 to 776 of the family's 1533-position model. The record is from RNAcentral.
CACAGAGGGCGCGAGCGUUAAUCGGAAUUACUGGGCGUAAAGCGCACGUAGGCGGCUUGGUAUGUCGGGUGUGAAAUCCCCGGGCUCAACCUGGGAACUGCAUCCGAAACUGCCUUGCUAGAGUAUGGGAGAGGGAAGUGGAAUUUCCGGUGUAGCAGUGAAAUGCGUAGAUAUCGGAAGGAACACCCGUGGCGAAGGCGACUUCCUGGACCAAUACUGACGCUCAGGUGCGAAAGCGUGGGGAGCAAACAGG